This 787-nucleotide ribosomal RNA is filed under the name uncultured bacterium. RNAcentral's name for it is "bacterial SSU rRNA". It matches the Rfam family "Bacterial small subunit ribosomal RNA", at positions 24 to 801 of the family's 1533-position model. The record is from RNAcentral.
UCAGGAUGAACGCUAGCGGCAGGCUUAACACAUGCAAGUCGAGGGGCAGCGAGGGUGAUAGCAAUAUUACCUGUCGGCGACCGGCGCACGGGUGCGUAACGCGUAUGCAACCUACCAUCAACAGGGGGAUAACACUGAGAAAUUGGUACUAAUACCCCAUAAUAUCUCAUGCGGCAUCGCAUGGGGUUGAAAACUCCGGUGGUUGAUGAUGGGCAUGCGUUGUAUUAGCUGGUUGGUGAGGUAACGGCUCACCAAGGCGACGAUACAUAGGGGGACUGAGAGGUUAACCCCCCACAUUGGUACUGAGACACGGACCAAACUCCUACGGGAGGCAGCAGUGAGGAAUAUUGGUCAAUGGACGCAAGUCUGAACCAGCCAUGCCGCGUGCAGGAUGACGGCUCUAUGAGUUGUAAACUGCUUUUGUACGAGGGUAAACCCCGAUACGUGUAUUGGGUUGAAAGUAUCGUACGAAUAAGGAUCGGCUAACUCCGUGCCAGCAGCCGCGGUAAUACGGAGGAUCCGAGCGUUAUCCGGAUUUAUUGGGUUUAAAGGGUGCGUAGGCGGUUUGAUAAGUUAGAGGUGAAAUGUCGGGGCUCAACCCCGAAACUGCCUCUAAUACUGUUGGACUAGAGAAUAGUUGCGGUAGGCGGAAUGUAUGGUGUAGCGGUGAAAUGCUUAGAGAUCAUACAGAACACCGAUUGCGAAGGCAGCUUACCAAACUAUAUCUGACGUUGAGGCACGAAAGCGUGGGUAGCAAACAGGAUUAGAUACCCUGGUAGUCCACGCA